Molecule: small RNA, 481 nt
Filed under: Pan troglodytes (chimpanzee)
Lineage: Eukaryota; Metazoa; Chordata; Mammalia; Primates; Hominidae
Description: retained intron
Source: RNAcentral
CGGCCGCUUCCUGCAGACUCGUGUUUGCAGCGUAUCUGUAGACGGGGAGGCUGCAGUCCUCCCGGAAGUCCUGUCUUGGAGGGUGCAGGAGAGCCUCGAGUUUCCACCAGCAAGUUUGAGGGACACUGAGAGGCUCCCUCCCUUCCUCCGGACCGAGCUGUUGCCCCCAUGUCUCUGGCAGGUUCUGGGGCCGGCUGGAGCGUUAUCUGCCCACACAUAGCAUCUGCUCCUUGCCUUUCGUCACGUCCUUCUGCCUGGGCAUGGGUGCACGGAGGGUCUGCUAUGGCCAGGAAGAGGCGGUGGGGCCCUGGUACCACCUGAGCGCCCAGGAGAUCCAGCCCUUGUUUGGAGAACACAGGCUGGGAGGGGAUGGCCGGGGCUGGGUGAGGACGCACUGCUGCCUGGAGGAUGCCUGGCAUGGAGGCAGCUCCCUGCUCGUCCGGGGUGUGAUCCCACCGGAGGUUGGAAAUGUGGCUGUGAG